This is a long non-coding RNA of Anopheles merus, 670 nucleotides long. RefSeq lists it as uncharacterized. The transcript has 3 exons. NCBI's taxonomy places the organism in Eukaryota, Metazoa, Arthropoda, Insecta, Diptera, Culicidae. The record is from RefSeq and is a predicted model, not a curated record.
CACACUGUCGUUGUCAAAUGACAUUAACCAAGGAUCUUUGAAGACAUUUUCAAUACAACAGCGCAAUAAGUAAACGGUAAAAAUGGAUGAAACGCAGAUCAUAGCAAUAAUGCAUACACCGCAAUGGUCUGGAAUUUUGGCAAGAUUGUUGACUAUGACCAUAAUGCGUCGCCGACGUAUACUUCGAUCCAUUAGGCGCUGGUGGAUGAGGCCUAUAAUGGUUCAAAGAAAUGAAGCAAGAGUCAGAUUAUUGAACACUUUAAUGGAGGAGGAAUCCAAUUUUGCAACACUAAACUUGCUAAGAAUGACGAAGCAAGACUUCGACCUUCUGCUUUCAUGGACCGAACCCAUAAUUCGUAUGCAGGAUACAAAUAUGAGAUUGGCUAUUACUCCUAAAGAAAGGCUCUUAAUAACUUUAAGAUACCUUGCGACAGGUGAUAGCUUUGCAAGUCUUCAUUAUUUGUUCCAGGUGUCUGUUAGAUCAAUUAGUCGUAUUAUUCAUCAAGUAUGUAAGGCCAUUAUAACUGCACUUAGCGAAUUUGUUCAGGUAAGCAUGUGUUAAGCAACAUAGUGUUACUGCAAAGUUCAAUUUUAUUUAUAUUUCAUUUUUAAUUCUAAAUUAUGAAUUAAUUCUAAGUUUAAUUCAUCAAACUUAAUAUUCACCUAAACG